RNAcentral lists this ribosomal RNA (253 nucleotides) under uncultured bacterium. Its description in RNAcentral is "partial 16S ribosomal RNA". It matches the Rfam family "Bacterial small subunit ribosomal RNA", at positions 524 to 776 of the family's 1533-position model. The record is from RNAcentral.
UACGGAGGGUGCGAGCGUUGCUCGGAAUCAUUGGGCGUAAAGCGUACGCAGGCGGCCAUCCAAGUCGGGUGUGAAAGCCCAGGGCUCAACCCUGGAAAUGCGCCCGAGACUGAAUGGCUUGAGUGCGGGAGAGGGAAGCGGAAUUCCUGGUGUAGAGGUGAAAUUCGUAGAUAUCAGGAGGAACACCGGUGGCGAAAGCGGCUUCCUGGCCCGACACUGACGCUCAUGUACGAAAGCGUGGGGAGCAAACAGG